This 253-nucleotide ribosomal RNA is filed under the name uncultured Lactobacillus sp. RNAcentral's name for it is "partial 16S ribosomal RNA". It matches the Rfam family "Bacterial small subunit ribosomal RNA", at positions 524 to 776 of the family's 1533-position model. Lineage: Bacteria; Bacillati; Bacillota; Bacilli; Lactobacillales; Lactobacillaceae. The record is from RNAcentral.
UACGUAGGUGGCAAGCGUUAUCCGGAUUUAUUGGGCGUAAAGGGAACGCAGGCGGUCUUUUAAGUCUGAUGUGAAAGCCUUCGGCUUAACCGGAGUAGUGCAUUGGAAACUGGGAGACUUGAGUGCAGAAGAGGAGAGUGGAACUCCAUGUGUAGCGGUGAAAUGCGUAGAGAUCGGGAGGAACACCAGUGGCGAAGGCGGCCUACUGGGCUCUAACUGACGCUGAGGCACGAAAGCGUGGGUAGCAAACAGG